CUUUUUGGAGAGAUUGAUCCUGGCUCAGGACGAACGCUGGCGGCGUGCCUAAUACAUGCAAGUCGAGCGGAUCUAAAGGAGCUUGCUCCUUUAGAUUAGCGGCGGACGGGUAAGUAACACGUGGGCAACCUGCCCUGCAGAUUGGGAUAACUCCGGGAAACCGGGGCUAAU
Molecule: ribosomal RNA, 171 nt
Filed under: Domibacillus aminovorans
Lineage: Bacteria; Bacillati; Bacillota; Bacilli; Caryophanales; Bacillaceae
Description: partial 16S ribosomal RNA
Rfam family: Bacterial small subunit ribosomal RNA
Source: RNAcentral